GCCGGCAGCGUGGGCUGCGGUGCCUGAGACCCGGGGAUGGCGGCGGUGGCUUCCCGCACGGCCGGGCUUCUGCGGCUCCGAGCUGCGGGAGCGGAGCGGCGGUGGUGCGGACCGCGCUGCGCUGGGCUGGUGCAAGGCUUCCUGCCACCCGGAGGCGAGGGCGCGGCCCAGAAGCGGCGGGUGGCCCACUUCACUUUCCAGCCGGACCCGGAGUCCCUGCAGUAUGGGCAAACUCAGAAAAUGAACCUCUUUCAGUCAAUAACAAGUGCCUUGGAUAACUCAUUGGCCAAAGACCCUACUGCAGUAAUAUUUGGUGAAGAUGUUGCCUUUGGUGGAGUCUUCCGAUGCACUGUUGGUUUACGAGACAAAUAUGGAAAAGAUAGAGUGUUCAACACCCCAUUGUGUGAACAAGGAAUUGUUGGAUUUGGGAUUGGAAUCGCAGUCACUGGUGCCACGGCCAUUGCGGAAAUUCAGUUUGCCGACUAUAUCUUCCCUGCCUUUGAUCAGAUUGUCAACGAAGCUGCCAAGUACCGCUAUCGCUCUGGCGACCUUUUCAAUUGUGGGAGCCUCACCAUCCGGGCCCCAUGGGGCUGUGUAGGUCAUGGGGCCCUCUACCAUUCUCAGAGUCCUGAAGCCUUUUUUGCCCACUGCCCAGGAAUCAAGGUGGUUAUACCCAGAAGCCCUUUCCAGGCCAAGGGACUUCUACUGUCAUGCAUAGAAGAUAAAAAUCCAUGUAUAUUUUUUGAACCUAAAAUACUUUACAGGGCAGCAGUGGAACAGGUCCCAGUAGAACCCUACAAGAUCCCCCUGUCUCAGGCUGAAGUCAUCCAGGAGGGCAGUGAUGUGACUCUGGUUGCCUGGGGCACUCAGGUUCAUGUCAUCCGGGAGGUGGCUUCCAUGGCACGAGAAAAGCUUGGGGUGUCUUGUGAAAUCAUUGAUCUGCGGACGAUUGUGCCUUGGGAUGUGGAUACAGUUUGCAAGUCCGUGGUCAAAACCGGGCGACUGCUGAUCAGCCACGAGGCUCCCUUGACUGGCGGCUUUGCCUCCGAGAUCAGUUCCACAGUCCAGGAAGAAUGUUUCUUGAACUUAGAGGCUCCAAUAUCUAGAGUAUGUGGAUAUGACACCCCGUUUCCUCACAUUUUUGAGCCGUUUUAUAUCCCAGACAAAUGGAAGUGCUAUGAUGCCCUACGGAAGAUGAUCAACUAUUGACUACAGAGAUAGGAGAAGAAUAUUAGAAAGCAGCGAUGGCUUCAGUCAAGUGGAGCCUUUCCUGGGGUUACUGGAAGGGCUUCUUUUUGCCUUCUCUUCCCCUCAUCAUAGUUCUGGAAGAUCUGAAAACAUCCUUAGGAAUUUCCCACAGAGCCAUCGCCCAGGUCUACUCUUGACUCAAGAGUAGGCCUCAUCUACUAGCCUGGUCCAGCGGAACAAGAUAUGUGCCCCAGUCAGCCUCAUGUUGCCCAAGGACAUCCUAUGAGAACAUGAUGUCUCUAGUUGAACUUGUCUCUUCAGUUGAUGUUACUUAGGAUUAUGUGAACCUCUUUUAUUAGUCACUUUGCUACUGUGUCUAUUAAUACUAAUUUUUCUACUCAUUGGUAUCUUGAUAAUUUUCCCUUAGCUACUUAAGACUUAAUUUCUUUAACUUUAUUUUACAAAUGGAAAGUACAGGGCGAGUCUGGGGACAAUUUGUGCAUUAAGUAUGACAUCUGAGAACACCAUCUCUGCUCUAAGUGGCCCUGCAGGCCCUAGCAGUAAAUAACCCCUUCCUAAGACAGUUUAUAGAUAUGCUCAAAAUAAACACAUCUAUGUAACUGUAAAUUCUUUUUUCAUAAAACAAAUGCUGUAUGUUGUACAAAUAUGGAAAAUAGUGUCAAGUGGCACAUGGGGUGUUAGAUAAAUGCCAGUCUAAUCUCCCACUGCUGUAGACUGAUCUUCAGCAUAAAUGAGCUCCCUGUGACAGCAUGGAUAUAUAUGCUAUUAACUCCCCAUUGUUCCAAUUGUUCUAGUCUCUUUAAAAUAUAAUAUCUUAUUGCUGAAGACACCAUGUAUUUCAGACAGUGGACCCAGAGGCCUCUCAGCUAGAACCGACAUGAAAGCCUCUUUCUUGAGGACUAGUUUGUAUGAAACUAGAAGGUACCAUGUAAGCUUCCAAAGAAGAAAAGCAACCAACAGUCUUAUUCUUUGAUCCACAACUACCAUCAUGGAACAAUAAUCCCAAGGGUGUAGUGGUGACACACAUGCCUUGACAGUAACCAAUAGUUCUCCAAUUGGACUUAAGACCUGCCCAAUAAGAGGGAAAUCAUGCUAGGUACUAGAAACCUACCCAGCUCCCCAGGGCUACUGAAGUCAUGAUCUUGGAGAACCUACAGCUGCCACUUUGUUCAAUUACCCAGAGAUAAGUAUAGUCAUUACCCCUCAUCAAAGAAACUUCUCUUUGUAAAUAGAUGAAGAUUAGUAUAAGGUAACACUACAUGUAAUAAAAUGUAGAGUUGUGGAUAUGGAGCCCAGUCCCAACUUACACACACACACACACAGACACACAGACACACAGACACACACACACACACACACACACACACACACACACACACACGCAAUAACAGUUAAGGAAAAGAGAGGUCAUGAAUUUGAAAGAGAGUAAGGAGGGGUAUAUGAAAGAGUUUAGAAGGAGGAAACGGAAGGGAGAAAUGAUGUAAUUAUAAUCUCAAAAAUUAGAACUUAUAAGUGCUUUACAAAACUGAUAGAUAACCUAUGUGAACAGACCUGUGUACAUUAGGCCAGGAACCUAGGGGAAAACCAAAUACUACUGUUUUACUAAAGGAGCAUAGCAAUAAAGUGACUCCUAAUGACACUCUACUAUACUCAUAGAUCAGUGCUUUGCCCAGAGAAGCUUCCUCCUGCAGCAGAUGGGAGAGAAUACAGAGAUUCACAGCAAACAUUAUGCAGACAGUGAGAGACCUUGGAACUCUCAGUCCUAAGCAGGAUGUUUUCAUCAAAUCCGUCUCCUCAGGGCCCCCUCAUGAACCCUGUGGAAGAGGUGGCUGAAAGACUGUAAGAUCCAGCAUGGAUGGAAGGCACCAGGGAAACUCGGCCUUCUAUAUACAGCAGAAACGACACACAGAUGAGCUCACAGAGACUUGGCAGCAUGCAAAGGGGUCUGUUCCAGAAGAAGUGGACACAAGCCCUCAGCCCUAACCCAGAAGCUAUCUCCAAGUGGCAACCACUUGCAAAUGAAACAAGGGAGUUGCAGUAGGGAAACAAACUAUUCUUAACGGUAGGCCCCUUGCCCAGCAGUAGAUGCCAACAGAAAACUAACUCAACACCUUUGGAGGUUAUUUGUCUUAUAUUGUUAUGACAAGAUUUUUUCUUUUUUAAUCCUUGCAGGUUCUUUGCAUCUGUGUUAUCACUUCCAGUUUUGGGUUUUUACGGGAUUCCUGUUUGUAUGAACAUGUGUGUGUCUGUGUCUAUGUGUUCCUUAAGCUUGUUCUUUGCCCCUUUUCCUUCUGUUUUGUCCUAUUCCUAUUGGAUUUUGUUUUGUUUUAUGUUUUAUUAUUGUCACUUAGAUGUCUAUUUUCUGAUGAGAGCCCUAAAGGGAGUGGAUCUGGGGAGGUGGGGAGGAGCUGCAGGGGGGAACACCGUAAUUAGAAUAUAUUGUGUGAAAGAAAAUCCAUUUUCAAUAAAAAACAAUUACAAAUAUAA
Mesocricetus auratus (golden hamster) is the source of this 3696-nucleotide RNA transcript. It is a transcript of the gene named branched chain keto acid dehydrogenase E1 subunit beta, with no coding region annotated. The transcript is spliced from 12 exons. The record is from RefSeq and is a predicted model, not a curated record. Lineage: Eukaryota; Metazoa; Chordata; Mammalia; Rodentia; Cricetidae.